GGAGGGUGCAAGCGUUGUUCGGAAUUAUUGGGCGUAAAGCGCGUGUAGGCGGCCUUGUAAGUCUGAUGUGAAAGCCCGGGGGCUUAACUCCGGAAGUGCAUUGGAUACUGCUUGGCUAGAGGGCGAGAGAGGGAAGCGGAAUUCCUGGUGUAGGGGUGAAAUCCGUAGAUAUCAGGAGGAACAUCUGUGGCGAAGGCGGCUUCCUGGCUCGUUUCUGACGCUGAGACGCGAAAGCGUGGGGAGCAAACAGGAUUAGAUACCCUGGUAGUCCACGCCCUAAACGAUGGAUACUAGUCGUUGGGAUACCUAAUCUUCUCAGUGACGUAGCUAACGCGCUAAGUAUCCCGCCUGGGGAUUACGAUCGCAAGAUUA
RNAcentral lists this ribosomal RNA (372 nucleotides) under uncultured organism. Its description in RNAcentral is "partial 16S ribosomal RNA". It matches the Rfam family "Bacterial small subunit ribosomal RNA", at positions 527 to 896 of the family's 1533-position model. The record is from RNAcentral.